UACGGAGGGGGCUAGCGUUGUUCAGAAUUACUGGGCGUAAAGCGCACGUAGGCGGAUUGUUAAGUCGGGGGUGAAAUCCCGGGGCUCAACCCCGGAAUGGCCUCCGAUACUGGCAAUCUUGAGGUCGGGAGAGGUGAGUGGAAUGGCGAGUGUAGAGGUGAAAUUCGUAGAUAUUCGCCGGAACGCCAGUGGCGAAGGCGGCUCACUGGCCCGAUACUGACGCUGAGGUGCGAAAGCGUGGGGAGCAAACAGG
Molecule: ribosomal RNA, 253 nt
Filed under: uncultured bacterium
Lineage: Bacteria
Description: partial 16S ribosomal RNA
Rfam family: Bacterial small subunit ribosomal RNA
Source: RNAcentral